Molecule: non-coding RNA, 21 nt
Filed under: Caenorhabditis elegans
Lineage: Eukaryota; Metazoa; Nematoda; Chromadorea; Rhabditida; Rhabditidae
Source: RNAcentral
UAGAUAGGCAGAAAUUUGAUG